GAUGGACGCUGGCGGCGUGCCUAAUACAUGCAAGUCGAACGCUGGAGAUCUAGCUUGCUAGAUCGAAGGAGUGGCGAACGGGUGAGUAAUACAUAAGCAACCUACCCACGAAGACUGGGAUAAUCUCUGGAAACGGGGACUAAUACCGGAUAGGUAAUCGGAAGGCAUCUUCUGGUUAUUAAAGGUUAAAAACACUGGUGGAUGGGCUUAUGGCGCAUUAGUUAGUUGGUGAGGUAACGGCCCACCAAGACGAUGAUGCGUAGCCGGCCUGAGAGGGUGAACGGCCACAUUGGGACUGAGACACGGCCCAGACUCCUACGGGAGGCAGCAGUAGGGAAUUUUCGGCAAUGGGGGCAACCCUGACCGAGCAACGCCGCGUGAGUGAAGACGGCCUUCGGGUUGUAAAGCUCUGUUGUAAGGGAAGAACGGUAGAUAGAGAAUAUCUAAGUGACGGUACCUUACCAGAAAGCCACGGCUAACUACGUG
Molecule: ribosomal RNA, 486 nt
Filed under: uncultured bacterium
Lineage: Bacteria
Description: partial 16S ribosomal RNA
Rfam family: Bacterial small subunit ribosomal RNA
Source: RNAcentral